This 459-nucleotide ribosomal RNA is filed under the name uncultured bacterium. Its description in RNAcentral is "bacterial SSU rRNA". It matches the Rfam family "Bacterial small subunit ribosomal RNA", at positions 16 to 507 of the family's 1533-position model. The record is from RNAcentral.
AUCAUGGCUCAGAGCGAACGCUAGCGGCGAGCUUAACACAUGCAAGUCGAGCGGAGGGUUUCGGCCCUCAGCGGCGGACGGGUGAGUAACACGUAGGUUACGUGCCUUUGGUGGGGAAUAACUUAGGGAAACCUGAGCUAAUACCGCAUAUGCCCUUCGGGGUGAAAGUCUUCGGACGCCAGAGGAUCGGCCUGCGGCCCAUUAUUUAAUCCUUGUUGGUGGGGUAACGGCCUACCAAGGGUACGAUGGGUAGCUGGUCUGAGAGGAUGAUCAGCCACACUGGGACUGAGACACGGCCCAGACUCCUACGGGAGGCAGCAGUGGGGAAUAUUGGACAAUGGGGGAAACCCGUGAUCCAGCUACGCCGCGUGGGUAAUGAAGGCCUUCGGGUUGUAAAGCCCUGUCGAGGGGGACGAAGUUCUGACGGUACCCCUCAAGAAAGCACCGGCUAACUCCGUG